UACGGAGGGGGCAAGCGUUACUCGGAAUUAUUGGGCGUAAAGGGCGUGUAGGCGGCGGAGUAUGUCUGACGUGAAAUCCCUCGGCUUAACCGAGGAAGUGCAUCGGAAACUGCUUCGCUAAGAGUGCGAGAGAGGAUAGCGGAAUUCCCAGAGUAGAGGUGAAAUUCGUAGAUACUGGGAGGAACACCUGAGGCGAAGGCGGCUAUCUGGUUCGCAACUGACGCUGAGACGCGAAAGCGUGGGUAGCAAACAGG
RNAcentral lists this ribosomal RNA (254 nucleotides) under uncultured prokaryote. Its description in RNAcentral is "partial 16S ribosomal RNA". It matches the Rfam family "Bacterial small subunit ribosomal RNA", at positions 524 to 776 of the family's 1533-position model. The record is from RNAcentral.